RNAcentral lists this ribosomal RNA (433 nucleotides) under uncultured bacterium. RNAcentral's name for it is "partial 16S ribosomal RNA". It matches the Rfam family "Bacterial small subunit ribosomal RNA", at positions 29 to 507 of the family's 1533-position model. The record is from RNAcentral.
AGCGAACGCUGGCGGCAGGCUUAACACAUGCAAGUCGAGCGGGCCCUUCGGGGUCAGCGGCGGACGGGUGAGUAACGCGUGGGAACGUGCCUUCUGGUCUGGAAUAACCCUGGGAAACUAGGGCUAAUACCGGAUACGCCCUUUUGGGGAAAGGUUUACUGCCGGAAGAUCGGCCCGCGUCUGAUUAGCUAGUUGGUGGGGUAACGGCCUACCAAGGCGACGAUCAGUAGCUGGCCUGAGAGGAUGAUCAGCCACACUGGGACUGAGACACGGCCCAGACUCCUACGGGAGGCAGCAGUGGGGAAUAUUGGACAAUGGGCGCAAGCCUGAUCCAGCCAUGCCGCGUGAGUGAUGAAGGCCUUAGGGUUGUAAAGCUCUUUUAUCCGGGACGAUAAUGACGGUACCGGAGGAAUAAGCCCCGGCUAACUUCGUG